This 84-nucleotide transfer RNA is filed under the name Ameiurus melas (black bullhead). It matches the Rfam family "tRNA". Rfam says of the family: Transfer RNA (tRNA) molecules are approximately 80 nucleotides in length. Their secondary structure includes four short double-helical elements and three loops (D, anti-codon, and T loops). The record is from Rfam by way of RNAcentral. Lineage: Eukaryota; Metazoa; Chordata; Actinopteri; Siluriformes; Ictaluridae.
GUCAGGAUGGCCGGAGCGGCGCAAGGCGCUGCGUUAAGGUCGCAGUCUCCUCUGGAGGCGUGGGUUCAAAUCCCACUUCUGACA